RNAcentral lists this ribosomal RNA (880 nucleotides) under uncultured bacterium. Its description in RNAcentral is "bacterial SSU rRNA". It matches the Rfam family "Bacterial small subunit ribosomal RNA", at positions 11 to 895 of the family's 1533-position model. The record is from RNAcentral.
GUUUGAUCAUGGCUCAGGAUGAACGCUGGCGGCGUGCCUAACACAUGCAAGUCGAACGAAGAGGCCCCUUCGGGGGUACUUCAGUGGCGGACGGGUGAGUAACACGUAGGUGACCUGCCCCGAAGUGUGGAAUAACAGUCCGAAAGGAUUGCUAAUACCGCAUGUGGUCUGCGAGGUUAGAGUCUGGCAGACUAAAGCCUACCCGCAAGGGUAAUGUGCUUCGGGAGGGGCCUGCGCCCCAUCAGCUAGUUGGUAGGGUAAUGGCCUACCAAGGCAACAACGGGUAGGGGGCCUGAGAGGGUGACCCCCCACAUUGGCACUGACACACGGGCCAAACUCCUACGGGAGGCAGCAGUGAGGAAUAUUGCUCAAUGGGCGAAAGCCUGAAGCAGCAACGCCGCGUGCGCGAUGAAGGCCUUCGGGUCGUAAAGCGCUUUUGAGAGGGACGAGAUAGGACGGUACCUCUGGAAUAAGUCACGGCUAACUACGUGCCAGCAGCCGCGGUAAAACGUAGGUGGCAAGCGUUAUCCGGAUUCAUUGGGCGUAAAGCGCGUGCAGGUGGCUUCGUAAGUUGGACGUUAAAUCUCCCGGCCUAACCGGGAGGAGUCGUUCAAUACUGCGGGGCUGGAGGGCAGAAGAGGGGGGUGGAAUUGCUGGUGUAGUGGUGAAAUGCGUAGAUAUCAGCAGGAACACCCGUGGCGAAAGCGGCCCCCUGGUCUGCUCCUGACACUCAGACGCGAAAGCUAGGGGAGUGAACGGGAUUAGAAACCCCGGUAAUCCUAGCCGUAAACGAUGGAUGCUAGGUGUGGGUGGUAUUGACCCCAUCCGUGCCGAAGCUAACGCGUUAAGCAUCCCGCCUGGGGACUACGGCCGCAAGGUU